CAGCCGCCGCGGUAAUACGUAGGUGGCGAGCGUUGUCCGGAAUUAUUGGGCGUAAAGAGCAUGUAGGUGGGAAUGUAAGUCUGUUGUUAAAAUGCGGGGCUCAACCCCGUAUUGCACUGGAAACUACAUUUCUUGAGUGCAGGAGAGGAAAGGGGAAUUCCCAGUGUAGCGGUGAAAUGCGUAGAUAUUGGGAGGAACACCAGUGGCGAAGGCGCCUUUCUGGACUGUGUCUGACACUGAGAUGCGAAAGCUAGGGGAGCGAACGGGAUUAGAUACCCCGGUAGUCCUAGCCGUAAACGAUGGGUACUAGGUGUAGGAGGUAUCGACCCCUUCUGUGCCGGAGUUAACGCAAUAAGUACCCCGCCUGGGGAGUACGGCCGCAAGGUUGAAACUCAAAGGAAUUGACGGGGGCCCGCACAAGCGGUGGAGUAUGUGGUUUAAUUCGACGCAACGCGAAGAACCUUACCAAGGCUUGACAUCAACUGAAAGAUAUAGAGAUAUAUCCCUCUCUUCGGAGACAGGAAGACAGGUGGUGCAUGGCC
RNAcentral lists this ribosomal RNA (542 nucleotides) under uncultured archaeon. RNAcentral describes it as "bacterial SSU rRNA". It matches the Rfam family "Bacterial small subunit ribosomal RNA", at positions 509 to 1050 of the family's 1533-position model. The record is from RNAcentral.